Molecule: ribosomal RNA, 433 nt
Filed under: uncultured bacterium
Lineage: Bacteria
Description: partial 16S ribosomal RNA
Rfam family: Bacterial small subunit ribosomal RNA
Source: RNAcentral
AACGAACGCUGGCGGCAUGCCUAACACAUGCAAGUCGAACGAGACCUUCGGGUCUAGUGGCGCACGGGUGCGUAACGCGUGGGAACCUGCCCUUAGGUUCGGAAUAACUCCCCGAAAGGGGUGCUAAUACCGGAUAAUGCCUUCGGACCAAAGAUUUAUCGCCUUUGGAUGGGCCCGCGUUGGAUUAUCUAGUUGGUAGGGUAAAAGCCUACCAAGGCGACGAUCCAUAGCUGGUCUGAGAGGAUGAUCAGCCACACUGGGACUGAGACACGGCCCAGACUCCUACGGGAGGCAGCAGUGGGGAAUAUUGGACAAUGGGCGAAAGCCUGAUCCAGCAAUGGCGCGUGAGUGAUGAAGGCCUUAGGGUUGUAAAGCUCUUUUACCCGGGAUGAUAAUGACAGUACCGGGAGAAUAAGCGCCGGCUAACUCCGUG